GUCUAUAUGCAUUUUUAAUAUCGCUUUAUAUCCUUACGUUUCACAAAUAAAAUUGCAAGCAAAAGAAACAACAUGUAUGGUGUUUGGAGUUUCUUGUCGCGAUAAACUUGGGCAAAACGCAAGAGAAAUAUUUCUAAAUAAACAAAAAAACAAGCAAAUACGCAUAUACACAAAAGUACAUGAAUGAAUUUUUAUAAAAUAAAUUUUAAAAAAAAUAGGCCUCUUUAACUCAUAAUUUAAUACGCUCGUAAGGUGUUUUGGAGCAUAUGGAAAGACUUGCUCCGCUUUACAUGGAAAUGUGAUCGUGUGCUUAAACCCAUCAGAUUGAUCUACACUUUCACCUUCAACUUUUGUUUUGCCUCAGAGUAAAGCCUGAUAGGGAGAUGCAUGUGGGACGUCUACCAGCCCGUUGCUGCUAUGAUCGCUGCGCAGCCACUCGUUACAAAGUUAAAAGAAGCUCUAAAGCAGUCUAACGUUCUUUGCGUCAAGAAAAAGAGAUUGAAGUUUGCAAAUGGUGAAGCAAGUUUAAUCAAUAUGUGGCGGAAAUUAGUUGAUAAUGACGUGCAACAAAUUACAAGGCACCAAGUAAAUUUCUCACUGUAAAGAGUACAGUUUUAUUAUUAAAAAGGCAAAUGGAUUAUGAAGCGGCUGCACCAAUAAGUUGUUGCAACACAAAAAAAGGAGUUAUUACAAGGAAUCAACGAAUUUCUAAAGAAUAUUUAGAUAUGCAAAUGAUAAAUGGCGGCCAAGACAAUUAGUCUGUUAUAUAAAUUCAUCUAAAAUUCCACUAUACGAAUUUAUGGGCGACCACGAAGUUUCGUCUGGCUUCUAUAUGAUUCAUAAGUAAGUGAACACCAGUUAUAACCUAUAUUACAGAUACAAAAAAAAAAAAGGAUUAAACAAUUUACCAGGAGAAGCGAAGAUUUUUCAGAAUAUUUCUAAUGAAGCGAACAAUAUAUUGAAGAAGACGAUCAAAUUAUCGCUUUUCACCAACCUUGUCAUUUAAGAAUGGAUUGACCGACUUCUGAUGUACUUU
Long non-coding RNA from Glossina fuscipes, 1036 nucleotides. RefSeq lists it as uncharacterized. The record is from RefSeq and is a predicted model, not a curated record. The transcript is spliced from 3 exons. Lineage: Eukaryota; Metazoa; Arthropoda; Insecta; Diptera; Glossinidae.